This 73-nucleotide transfer RNA is filed under the name Bifidobacterium animalis subsp. lactis Bl12. Its description in RNAcentral is "tRNA-Arg". The stretch from base 18 to 73 matches the Rfam family "tRNA", at positions 1 to 54 of the family's 71-position model. Rfam says of the family: Transfer RNA (tRNA) molecules are approximately 80 nucleotides in length. Lineage: Bacteria; Bacillati; Actinomycetota; Actinomycetes; Bifidobacteriales; Bifidobacteriaceae. The record is from RNAcentral.
UAUAAUGGUCAUUCGUUGCCCUGGUAGCUCAGUGGAUAGAGCACCGCUCUCCUAAAGCGGGUGUCGCGCGUUC